UGAGGAAUAUUGCACAAUGGGGGAAACCCUGAUGCAGCAACGCCGCGUGGAUGAUGAAGGCCUUCGGGUUGUAAAAUCCUUUUCUGAGGGAAGAUAAUGACGGUACCUCAGGAAUAAGUUCCGGCUAACUACGUGCCAGCAGCCGCGGUAAAACGUAGGGGACAAGCGUUAUCCGGAUUUACUGGGCGUAAAGCGCAUGUAGGUGGCGCUGAAAGUUGGACGUGAAAGCUCCUGGCUUAACUGGGAGAGGUCGUUCAAAACUACAGUGCUUGAGGUUGGAAGAGGAGAGCGGAAUUCCCGGUGUAGUGGUGGAAUGCGUAGAUAUCGGGAGGAACACCAGUGGCGAAAGCGGCUCUCUGGUUCACACCUGACACUGAGAUGCGAAAGCGUGGGGAGCGAACGGGAUUAGAUACCCCGGUAGUCCACGCUGUAAACGAUGGAUACUAGGUGUAGGAGGUCAUUAACCCCUUCUGUGCCGAAGCUAACGCGUUAAGUAUCCCGCU
Molecule: ribosomal RNA, 503 nt
Filed under: uncultured bacterium
Lineage: Bacteria
Description: bacterial SSU rRNA
Rfam family: Bacterial small subunit ribosomal RNA
Source: RNAcentral